GACAGAGGGUGCGAACGUUGUUCGGAAUUACUGGGCGUAAAGCGCGUGUAGGCGGCAGCGCAAGUCGGGCGUGAAAUCCCACGGCUCAACCGUGGAAGUGCACUCGAAACUGCGCAGCUAUAGUCCUGGAGAGGAAGGUGGAAUGCUUGGUGUAGAGGUGAAAUUCGUAGAUAUCAAGCGGAACACCGGUGGCGAAGGCGGCCUUCUGGACAGUGACUGACGCUGAGACGCGAAAGCGUGGGGAGCAAACAGG
This 253-nucleotide ribosomal RNA is filed under the name uncultured bacterium. RNAcentral's name for it is "partial 16S ribosomal RNA". It matches the Rfam family "Bacterial small subunit ribosomal RNA", at positions 524 to 776 of the family's 1533-position model. The record is from RNAcentral.